GAUGAACGCUAGCGGCAGGCUUAACACAUGCAAGUCGAGGGGUAGAAGUCUUCGGACUUUGAGACCGGCGCACGGGUGCGUAAACGCGUAUGCAAUCUGCCUUGUACAAAGGGAUAGCCCAGAGAAAAUUUGGAUUAAUACCUUAUAGUAUAUUGAUGUGGCAUCACAUUAAUAUUAAAGAUUUAUCGGUACAAGAUGAGCAUGCGUCCCAUUAGCUAGUUGGUAUGGUAACGGCAUACCAAGGCAAUGAUGGGUAGGGGUCCUGAGAGGGGAGAUCCCCCACACUGGUACUGAGACACGGACCAGACUCCUACGGGAGGCAGCAGUGAGGAAUAUUGGUCAAUGGCGCAAGCCUGAACCAGCCAUGCCGCGUGCAGGAUGACGGUCCUAUGGAUU
RNAcentral lists this ribosomal RNA (396 nucleotides) under uncultured Flavobacterium sp. Its description in RNAcentral is "bacterial SSU rRNA". It matches the Rfam family "Bacterial small subunit ribosomal RNA", at positions 28 to 424 of the family's 1533-position model. Lineage: Bacteria; Pseudomonadati; Bacteroidota; Flavobacteriia; Flavobacteriales; Flavobacteriaceae. The record is from RNAcentral.